RNAcentral lists this ribosomal RNA (119 nucleotides) under Anolis carolinensis (green anole). Lineage: Eukaryota; Metazoa; Chordata; Lepidosauria; Squamata; Anolidae. The record is from RNAcentral.
GACUACGGUAAAACCGCUCUGAAUACGCCUGAUGCCACUAGAUUUUGGAAUCUAAGCAGGGAUGGGCCCAGGAUGUUCUUGGAUGGGAGACCUCCAGGGCAUACUGGGUACUGUAGUCC